Molecule: transfer RNA, 76 nt
Filed under: Candidatus Uhrbacteria bacterium
Lineage: Bacteria; Candidatus Uhriibacteriota
Description: tRNA-Pro
Rfam family: tRNA
About the family: Transfer RNA (tRNA) molecules are approximately 80 nucleotides in length. Their secondary structure includes four short double-helical elements and three loops (D, anti-codon, and T loops).
Source: RNAcentral
CGGGCUAUAGCGCAGUUGGUAGCGCGCCACGUUCGGGACGUGGAGGUCGUGGGUUCAAGUCCCGCUAGCCCGACCA